AUUUCUCUGUCUGCCUGGUUUCCUUCAAGAACUACUUUAUUGUGUUUCUUUCCUCUUCCAGCGGAACGGAAGCCCCCCCUUUUCAACAUGAAUGCAAUGAGUGCCUUAUAUCACAUUGCCCAGAAUGACUCCCCAACGUUACAGUCUAAUGAAUGCAUGACUUUGUUCGAAGAGACCGGCCACUACGUGUCCUCAUUGACCUCAUACAGAGGACAAAAGAUGCAGUUCGUGAGCUAGAUAACCUACAGUACCGAAAAAUGAAAAAAAUACUUUUCCAAGAGACACGGAAUGGACCCUUGAAUGAGUCACAGGAGGAUGAGGAAGUAGGUUCAAUUUAUUUUAGCAGGCACUUAUAGAAUGCCCACUAUGUGAAAAAGUUCUAGACUGGGCACUAUGAAAAACUUUUGAAGAUAAAAAUUAAUUGAUGUUGUCCGCCUUAAGAGACAUGAAGGGUUGUACAAGAGACAUUCAUAAAAUAACACUUAUAUAAGGCAAAAUAUGAAAAGUGCUACAGAGGUGUAACCCCAUUGCAGGGGUCCAUGAUGGGGAGAAAAUAAGUCUGCUGGUGGGAUUAGUGAAGGUUUCCUGGAGGACAUGAUGUGGGUAGUUUCUGACAAAUGGGCAUAGGGUAUUCUAGACUCAGAAAGGUGUUGUGCUUUAGGAAGAUUAUCCUAGCAACAGAGUGUAACAUGGAUUUGAAUGGGCAACAUCCUGGCUAAUAGUCCAUGCAAGAGGUAAUAAGGUCAGUGUCGAUGCAAAUGGGGAAAAGGGAACACUUUAGAGAAACAUCGUAGAGGUAGAUUUCAUAAUCCAUGGCUUCUCAUUGACAGUGACAGAUAAGGAGGAGUUUAAGGUGACUCUGAGCAUUGGAGCCUGGGUGGCUAGGAGUAUGUCAAUACCAAGAACAGAGAAAAAGAACCAGGGAGAAAAAGUAGAUUUAGGAUGAUUUCAGUUUCGUGCCUUUUGAGUUUAAGGUCCUGGCAUUAUAUACUCUUGCCAGUAUACAGAUAGAAGUUUUCAGUUAGAGAAUCCUUGAUGACCUUAGUAAAAGCAGUUUUACAGGACUAGGUAGAAUGAAUAGUAGAUUACUGGAGUUGUAUAAUUCAUGGGAGUUGAUAAGAGGGAGACAGGAAAAAAUAAUUAUGUUAAGAUUCAGAAAUUGGGUUAAGAAGGAAAAGUAAGAGUGGGCAGCAUGUAGAGAGAUCCAUAAAUAUAAGGCAGGCUUCUUCGUCUUUAAAUGCAGUGGAGAUGGAGCCAGGGCAGAGUCAGAGGCACCGAAGAUAGAAGAAAGGGAUAUAGUUAAAGAGGCAGGAUUUCAGAACGUAGACAUAACAAGAACAGGAGUAUUUUAGCUUUUUAACAGAAAAUAAAAUAAACAUAAAAGUAUUUUAUCAAUAAUUUUAAAAAUGAAGCUCGGAAAGUUGCAUUGAACUAUAAAAUUUCUUGAUUGCAUGUAUAGAAAUGAUCCCCUUUAAUUGGGAAAACAAGUCUGUUAAAAAUAUAAUGUAUUAUCUUCCAUUUUAUAUUACCCAGUAAUUUUUUAUAUUGCCAUGGCUAAGUAACAGUUUAUUAAAGUUAUAUGUGUACCAUAUGGUUUUUUGAGAACAAGGUUUAUUUGUAGCUAAAUGGAUUUAAUUUUAUUAUUCAAUCUUAUAUCAAAAGAUAUCCCACUGUGAUGGAUAAAUUAUAUGUUCUGAUUAUUUUACCACUUUUCAAAUAGUAGUCUUUGGGCCAGUAAUGAUGAAUACCAGAUAUAUAUAAUAAGAUUACAGAGAUAAGCAUGAUAGAAUCGCUUGAGGGAGGCAGACUUUAAUUACCUGUCCAGGAAAGUAGAAUUAAUAUUUCUGCUUAGAUAUGAAGUUACUCAAUAAUGACUUGCAGAAGGAGCAUAUUGCUUGUCAAAUAUCUGAAAACUCUUUCCACUCUACUUUUUCAAGUGACCACUGCUGUAUUUGCAGAUAUCCUAGAGCUCACCUGUUUAGUGGCCAGCAGUCUUCCUCUAGCUCCUUGAUGUUCCAGAAGGUCCCUUACAAACCUGGCUUGAUUUUGCUUACUGAAUAGCAACACGAUAAUAUGAUAGUGUGUAUGACAGGGGAAAGCCCUGGGAUGGCAGCAUUUGGAGCCUUAUGACCCAUGUCCAGAAUGGCCCCUGGGGAAGGCAUAGGAAGCAAAUAUGAGAUGUAUGAAAAUGGUGGAGGAGUAGUGGAGCCAGUACAUAAAAAGUUUGUCUUUGCAGAUUGGCAGAAAAGCAACUUGACACUGCAAAAUUGAGUGUGCUUGACACACACUGAGGUUUUUUCUAACCUCAGUGCCCCAUUUUUACAGGACAGUGAACAUGGAACCAGCCUGAACAGGGAAAUGGACAGCCUGGGCAGCAACCAUUCCAUUCCAAGCAUGUCCGUGAGCACAGGCAGCCAGAGCAGCAGUGUGAACAGCAUGCAGGAAGUCAUGGACGAGAGCAGUUCCGAACUUGUCAUGAUGCACGAUGACGAAAGCACAAUCAAUUCCAGCUCCUCCGUCGUGCAUAAGAAAGUAGGUUUCUUGGUACCCUCCACAGAGGUGAGCUUUGUCAAUCAUAGCGAAUCCAGUUCAAGUCACUUAGCUUCCAGAUGUUUCAGUUACCUUUUUGCAACUGCAGUGUGGUACUAAACCUGGCAUGUGACAGUUUUCUUACAGUCAAAAAGUAACAAAGGACUACACAGGCUACAUCUGUGCCUAUUUCUUCAUCUCCCUCUCUCAUUACUCUGAUGUCCAUCAUCAUCAAUAAAUAAGUUGAAGAAUUUGAUAAGUCCUUCUCUAAACCAAUAAUCUUAAUACUGUAGACCUUCAAGUCUUCCUGAGUGUACCUGUUGGUUAUGCCCUUUUAGAAGUAUGCUCUUUCAAAAGUAUGUUUCUUGGCUGGGCGUGGUGGCUCACAUCUGUAAUCCCAGCCCUUUGGGAGGCCUAGGCGGGUGGAUCACUUGAGGUCAGGAGUUUGAGACCAGCCUGGCCAACAUGGCGAAACCCCGUCUUUACUAAAAAUACAAAAAACAGCCGGGCCUGGUGACAUGUGCCUGUAAUCCCAGCUACUCGAGAGGCUGAGGCAGGAGAAUUGCUUGAACCCAGGAGGCAGAGGUUGUAGUGAGCCGAGAUCGCGCCAUUGCACUCCAGCCUGGGCAACAGAGUGAGACUCAAAAAAAAAAAAAAAAAAAAA
RNAcentral lists this small RNA (3193 nucleotides) under Pan troglodytes (chimpanzee). RNAcentral describes it as "retained intron". The record is from RNAcentral. Lineage: Eukaryota; Metazoa; Chordata; Mammalia; Primates; Hominidae.